GAUGAACGCUAGCGGGAGGCUUAACACAUGCAAGUCGAGGGGCAGCACGAGGUAGCAAUACUUUGGUGGCGACCGGCGCACGGGUGAGUAACGCGUAUGCAACCUACCCUGUACAGGGGGAUAACCCGGAGAAAUUCGGACUAAUACCCCAUAAUGAUAUCUGGAGGCAUCUUUAGAUAUUUAAAGUUCCGGCGGUACGGGAUGGGCAUGCGUAACAUUAGCUAGUUGGCAGGGUAACGGCCUACCAAGGCAACGAUGUUUAGGGGACCUGAGAGGGUGAUCCCCCACACUGGUACUGAGACACGGACCAGACUCCUACGGGAGGCAGCAGUGAGGAAUAUUGGUCAAUGGGCGCAAGCCUGAACCAGCCAUCCCGCGUGCAGGAAGACGGCCCUAUGGGUUGUAAACUGCUUUUUCAGGGGGAGAAACUUACCGACGUGUCGGUAUUGACGGUACCCU
Molecule: ribosomal RNA, 459 nt
Filed under: uncultured Bacteroidota bacterium
Lineage: Bacteria; Pseudomonadati; Bacteroidota
Description: bacterial SSU rRNA
Rfam family: Bacterial small subunit ribosomal RNA
Source: RNAcentral